This 627-nucleotide ribosomal RNA is filed under the name uncultured bacterium. RNAcentral describes it as "bacterial SSU rRNA". The stretch from base 1 to 534 matches the Rfam family "Bacterial small subunit ribosomal RNA", at positions 338 to 873 of the family's 1533-position model. The record is from RNAcentral.
CCUACGGGAGGCAGCAGUGGGGAAUAUUGGACAAUGGGCGAAAGCCUGAUCCAGCAAUUCCGCGUGUGUGAAGAAGGCCUUCGGGUUGUAAAGCACUUUAGUGGGGAAGAAACAGCUUGGCCACACCAAGCCUUGACGGUACCCCAAGAAUAAGCACCGGCUAACUCUGUGCCAGCAGCCGCGGUAAUACAGAGGGUGCAAGCGUUAAUCGGAUUUACUGGGCGUAAAGGGUGCGUAGGUGGCUAUUUAAGUCGGAUGUGAAAGCCCGGGGCUCAACCUCGGAAUUGCAUUCGAUACUGAGUGGCUAGAGUUCGGUAGAGGGCGGCGGAAUUUCCGGUGUAGCGGUGAAAUGCGUAGAUAUCGGAAGGAACAUCAAUGGCGAAGGCAGCCGCCUGGGCCUGGACUGACACUGAGGCACGAAAGCGUGGGUAGCAAACAGGAUUAGAUACCCUGGUAGUCCACGACCGUAACGAUGAGACUAGUACGUUGUUCGUUUACGUAUACGUGUCGCNGCUACGCGAUAAGUUCUCCGCCGUCGGGAGGUACGGCCGGCGAGGUUAGAACGUAACGUAAAGUAAGUUAGUUAGGUCGUUGAGACGUUGCCGACGGCGACGACGAGGGAGGAGG